GGGCGUGUAGCUCAGUUGGUAGAGCGUUCGCUUUGCAUCCUCUCGAUGCGAAAGGCCUUGGGUUCGAUUCCCAACUCGUCCA
Cercophora sp. LCS_1 is the source of this 82-nucleotide non-coding RNA. NCBI's taxonomy places the organism in Eukaryota, Fungi, Ascomycota, Sordariomycetes, Sordariales, Lasiosphaeriaceae. The record is from the annotation of a GenBank genome assembly.